This 424-nucleotide ribosomal RNA is filed under the name Adenomera simonstuarti group sp. ABGD cluster 42. Its description in RNAcentral is "partial large subunit ribosomal RNA". It matches the Rfam family "Bacterial large subunit ribosomal RNA", at positions 1835 to 2457 of the family's 2925-position model. Lineage: Eukaryota; Metazoa; Chordata; Amphibia; Anura; Leptodactylidae. The record is from RNAcentral.
CUUGCCUCAAAUAAGAGGUCUAGCCUGCCCAGUGACACUGUUCAACGGCCGCGGUAUCCUAACCGUGCGAAGGUAGCGUAAUCACUUGUUCUUUAAAUGAGGACUAGUAUGAAAGGCACCACGAGAGUCAUACUGUCUCCUUUUUUCAAUCAGUUAAACUAAUCCCCCCGUGAAGAAGCGGGGAUAAUUCUAUAAGACGAGAAGACCCUAUGGAGCUUUAAACAAAUAACACUUGCCUUACCCCUUCCUUUAAUUUCAGAAAAAUUUCUCACUCUGGCAUCAUACUUAUAAGUUUUUGAUUGGGGUGAUCACGGAACAAAAACCAACCUCCGCAAUGAAAGACACUCCCUUAACUAAGUUAAGAGCUACAACUCUAUAUAUCAACAAAUUGACAUUAAUUGACCCAAUAUAUUGAUCAAUGAAC